Molecule: ribosomal RNA, 795 nt
Filed under: uncultured bacterium
Lineage: Bacteria
Description: bacterial SSU rRNA
Rfam family: Bacterial small subunit ribosomal RNA
Source: RNAcentral
AGAGUUUGAUCAUGGCUCAGGAUGAACGCUAGCGGCAGGCUUAAUACAUGCAAGUCGAGGGGCAGCAGGGUGUAGCAAUACAUCGCUGGCGACCGGCAAACGGGUGCGGAACACGUACGCAACCUUCCUUCAAGUGAGGAAUAGCCCAGGGAAACUUGGAUUAAUACCUCGUAACAUUAUGAGAUGGCAUCAUUUUAUAAUUAUAGCUCCGGCGCUUGAAGAUGGGCGUGCGCCUGAUUAGGUAGUUGGCGGGGUAACGGCCCACCAAGCCUUCGAUCAGUAACUGGUGUGAGAGCACGACCAGUCACACGGGCACUGAGACACGGGCCCGACUCCUACGGGAGGCAGCAGUAAGGAAUAUUGGUCAAUGGACGCAAGUCUGAACCAGCCAUGCCGCGUGGAGGAUGAAGGUCCUCUGGAUUGUAAACUUCUUUUAUCUGGGAAGAAACCCAUAUUUUCUAAUGUGGUUGACGGUACCAGAUGAAUAAGCACCGGCUAACUCCGUGCCAGCAGCCGCGGUAAUACGGAGGGUGCAAGCGUUAUCCGGAUUCACUGGGUUUAAAGGGUGCGUAGGUGGGUUGGUAAGUCCGUGGUGAAAUCCCCAAGCUUAACUUGGGAACUGCCGUGGAUACUAUCAAUCUUGAAUAUCGUGGAGGUAAGCGGAAUAUGUCAUGUAGCGGUGAAAUGCUUAGAUAUGACAUAGAACACCAAUUGCGUAGGCAGCUUACUACACGAUCAUUGACACUGAGGCACGAAAGCGUGGGGAGCAAACAGGAUUAGAUACCCUAGUAGUCC